RNAcentral lists this ribosomal RNA (488 nucleotides) under uncultured bacterium. RNAcentral's name for it is "partial 16S ribosomal RNA". It matches the Rfam family "Bacterial small subunit ribosomal RNA", at positions 28 to 507 of the family's 1533-position model. The record is from RNAcentral.
GACGAACGCUGGCGGCGUGCUUAACACAUGCAAGUCGAACGAAAAUACCAAGCUUGCUUGGUUGAUUAGUGGCGAACGGGUGAGUAACACGUGAGUAACCUGCCCCUUACUUUCCUGGAUAACUGCUCGAAAGGGUAGCUAAUACGGGAUAUUCUGACCAGCCUGCAUGGGUUGGUUUGGAAAGGUUGUUUUUCUGGUAAGGGAUGGGCUCGCGGCCUAUCAGCUUGUUGGUGGGGUGAUGGCCUACCAAGGCUUUGACGGGUAGCCGGCCGGAGAGGGUGGAAGGUCACACUGGGACUGAGAUACGGCCCAGACUACUACGGGAGGCAGCAGUGGGGAAUAUUGCACAAUGGGCGCAAGCCUGAUGCAGCGACGCCGCGUGAGGGAUGAAGGCCUUCGGGGUGUAAACCUCUUUCGUCAGGGAACAAGGCACUGCUUUUUUGGUGGUGUUGAGGGUACCUGGAUAAGAAGCGCCGGCUAACUACGUG